CUUUUCGAGGUAGGAGUCGACUCCUGUGAGGUAUGGUGCUGGGUGCAGAUGCAGUGUGGCUCUGGAUAGCACCUUAUGGACAGUUGUGUCCCCAAGGAAGGAUGAGAAUAGCUACUGAAGUAAGUUGAAAAUUCCCUCUCAAAAAGGUUUAAAGCCAUUGGAUGUGCCACAAUGAUGACAGUUUAUUUGCUACUCUUGAGUGCUAGAAUGAUGAGGAUCUUAACCACCAUUAUCUUAACUGAGGCACCCAAAAUGGUGAGUUGGGGAACAUAGAGAGUACACCUAAGUUCACAUGAAGUUGUUUCUUCCCAGGUCCUAAAGAGCAAGCCUAACUCAAGCCAUUGGCACACAGGCAUUAGACAGAAAGCUGGAAGUUGAAAUGGUGGAGUCCAACUUGCCUGGACCAGCUUAAUGGUUCUGCUCCUGGUAACGUUUUUAUCCAUGGAUGACUUGCUUGGGUAAGGACAUGAAGACAGUUCCUGUCAUACCUUUUAAAGGUACAUGUUUUAUUGAUGUUAACGUUAAUUGAUUGAGCUACUGUUAGUGAUGAUUUUAAAAUUAAAGCAGAUGGGAAUCUCUCUGAGAAAGAAAAUGGAGAUUAAUCUUAAACUGAAACAGUAGUUGGGAAAUCUUUUAGAAAUCCACCUAUUACUACCUAUUGGUAAAGGAGAUUAAAUUUCUACAGGUAUGGAGAGUCGGCUUGACUACACUGUGUGGAGCAAGUUUUAAAGAAGCAAAGGUAUAGCAGUUCCAAGUAUUUUUUUUUUUUUUUUAGACAAGAGUCUAGCUCUUGCCCAGAA
This 800-nucleotide long non-coding RNA is filed under the name Homo sapiens (human). Its description in RNAcentral is "non-protein coding GAS5:71". The stretch from base 536 to 620 matches the Rfam family "Small nucleolar RNA SNORD79". Lineage: Eukaryota; Metazoa; Chordata; Mammalia; Primates; Hominidae. The record is from RNAcentral.